RNAcentral lists this ribosomal RNA (245 nucleotides) under uncultured bacterium. RNAcentral describes it as "partial 16S ribosomal RNA". It matches the Rfam family "Bacterial small subunit ribosomal RNA", at positions 524 to 768 of the family's 1533-position model. The record is from RNAcentral.
UACGUAGGCAGCGAGCGUUGUUCGGAGUUACUGGGCGUAAAGAGUAUGUAGGCGGUUCUGCAAGUUUGGUGUGAAAUCUCCCGGCUCAACUGGGAGGGUGCGCCGAAAACUGCAGGGCUAGAGUGCGGGAGAGGAAAGCGGAAUUCCUGGUGUAGCGGUGAAAUGCGUAGAUAUCAGGAGGAACACCUGCGGUGUAGACGGCUUUCUGGACCGUAACUGACGCUGAGAUACGAAAGCGUGGGUAG